GGUUCGAUUCUGGCUCAGGAUGAACGCUGGCGCCGUGCUUAACACAUGCAAGUCGAACGAACCUUCGGGUUAGUGGCGGACGGGUGAGUAACGCGUGAGAAUCUGCCCUCAGGAGGGGGAUAACGGUUGGAAACGACCGCUAAUACCCUAUAUGCCGCGAGGUGAAAUGAAUUUCGCCUGAGGAUGAGCUCGCGUCUGAUUAGUUAGUUGGUGGGGUAAAGGCCUACCAAGACAUCGAUCAGUAGCUGGUCUGAGAGGAUGAUCAGCCACACUGGGACUGAGACACGGCCCAGACUCCUACGGGAGGCAGCAGUGGGGAAUUUUCCGCAAUGGGCGAAAGCCUGACGGAGCAACGCCGCGUGAGGGAUGAAGGCCUCUGGGCUGUAAACCUCUUUUAUCAAGGAAGAAGAUCUGACGGUACUUGAUGAAUAAGCCACGGCUAAUUCCGUGC
Molecule: ribosomal RNA, 451 nt
Filed under: uncultured bacterium
Lineage: Bacteria
Description: bacterial SSU rRNA
Rfam family: Bacterial small subunit ribosomal RNA
Source: RNAcentral